GGAAGCCGUCAUGGCGCUGCAUUUGGGAAUCUUUCUGAUUUGGGCUGGUGCCUUUGUCUUUCUACAACUGGACCAUGUGGAUGGAGCUACGAAGACGUCUGGGAAUUGCACUGUUCUUGAAGUGAAGCCAGACAUUUCCCAAUGUACGUUUCCCUUUAUCUAUUGUGGUCAAACAUUUGACGAUUGCACAACUUCUGGGAGUCUGCUUGGGACACGUUGGUGCUCAGUCACUCCUAACUAUGAUGAUGAUAAAGGUUGGAAAUAUUGCUAGUAACAAAAGGUUCGUCUACUCAUGGCCAUGGAUGCAAUCAAACCUUUGAAACCUAAGUGAAGGAAAUCAAGAAAUCUCAAACCUGAAGGUGAUCCUCUGCACUGCGGAGAUGAAAUCCCUUGCCCGCCACUACACCAAGUUCCCACUGUGCAUGGAUUCAAUCAAUAAACCAUUCUUUCUGCAGGUGUGAUCUUGUUUUCCUUUCAUGAAAGGAAC
This is a long non-coding RNA of Equus caballus (horse), 487 nucleotides long. RefSeq lists it as uncharacterized. The record is from RefSeq and is a predicted model, not a curated record. NCBI's taxonomy places the organism in Eukaryota, Metazoa, Chordata, Mammalia, Perissodactyla, Equidae.